Molecule: long non-coding RNA, 1857 nt
Organism: Amborella trichopoda
Lineage: Eukaryota; Viridiplantae; Streptophyta; Magnoliopsida; Amborellales; Amborellaceae
Source: RefSeq, a predicted model, not a curated record
UCACUUCACUCCAUUCUAUUUUAAUUUAUUUAAUAUUCAUUCCAUUUUUUGCCUAUUUUCAUUUUCCUUUCAUCCUAUUUUUCAUCCUUAUUUCACCAUUACUUGUAUUUUCACUUUCGUCUCUUUCUUUCUCUUCAUCGCCUGUUUGACCAGAGGCCAGACUGAGCCUUGUGUUCGUGCGAGUUUUGUCGUUGAGCAGUAUAGCCAUCAUGCCGGUCUGAGUUACCGUGCAUGUCUUGCUGCCACGUCAGAUCCACCGUCACGCCAGUUUUGCCAUUGGGCCAGUCGAGCCGCCCAAUCAAACUUCUUCUCUCACUUUCACUUCACCCUGUAACAAGGUGGGGGACCUAUGCCCCAGUUGUCUAUACUUCUAAUGUGUGUCUGUGUGUUUGCAGGAAAGGAAAAAUAGGUCAAGGGAGGCGGUUCCAUAUUGGCCAUAGGCCAGGAGGCGGUUCCAUAUUGGCCAUAGCCCAGGAGGCUUUCCAACAUGAUCUAAAAGGGCGCCCACACGAGCCAGCUCGAGUGUGUCCGGACCCAUGCGAGGUAAGAAUAAACAGGUCAAGAGAGGUAAGAAUAACUAGCCACAAGCCAGGGGGCAUUCCACGUGAUCUAAGAGGGCACCCAUGUGAGCUAGCUCGAGCAUGGCAUGGACCCACGUGAAGUAAGUCCCGCCUCACGUGAACAUAUACUAUGUGAACAUUUCAUGUGGAAGUGCCUCAUGGGUGUGACCCAUGUGAAUUGUGUAAGUAGCAUGUGAAGAGUGUGGGUUGAGUAAAUUCUAUUGGUGGUGUCGUAACCCACCUAUGUGAUUGACACCUUUUACCAUAAUGUCCUUACCCUUGACCAUUCUUUACACAUAGAUUUAUUAAAAAACUCAAGGGUCUUUAUGUGAAGCCCUUUUGGAUUUGAUUGAAAUUAAUAUAUUAGGACAAGGACAAAUUGAAGGACCACAACUUUUAUGGACUUGAGAUGCUCAUGGCAAUAGAGAUAACAGAAGGAAACACAUGCCCGACACUAAGGAAGAAGGCGUAGCGCCGGCUAUGUUAGAAGCCUAGUGUCGGCAGUGUAAGAAGGCAUAGCGCCGGCUGUGUAAGAAGGCAUAGCGCCAGUUGGGUAAGAAGGCAUAGCAUCGGUUGUGUUAAAAGCCUAGUUCCGGCUGUGUAAGAAGGUAUAACACCAUCAGUGUAAGAAGGCAUAGUGCCGACUAUGUUUAAAUUCUAGAGUUGGCUGUGUAAGAAGGUAUAGCGCAGACUGGGUAAGAAGGCGUAGCACCGGUUGUGUUAGAAGCCUAGAGCCGGCUGUGGAAGAACCCAACGUCGAUUGAAGCAUCGCUGCGCGUGUAUAAGGACCCAUCGCCGUCUGAGACCUAGAGUCGUCUGUGAAAUGGGAGAGCAUCGUCGCGAGUGCCACUGCCACCAGUGAGCAGCACCGUUCAUGGAAAGAGCAUAGCGCCGUGUGUGUUUGGUCAAUUUGUACAAGAAUCAAUCCUGCCCUUGUCAGAGCCAUGCAUGCCAGUCACAUGAACCUCACCUACCCUGUCAGCAAUAGUGAACCCCACCUACCUAUGAGUACUUGAACACCACUCUUCUUCACUCCUCCAUCAUUUUUCUCAUCUCCCUUCUUCUUCUCCCAACUUUCUCUCCCUAGAGCCCAAGGGAGAACCCUUUGCUGCUGCUGUUGGGAAGCCCUGCCAAGAAGGUUGAAGUGGUCUACGUGUGGAUUUUAGGAGCACCUUGAGCAUUGGAGAAAGAGUCACAGUUGGAAGACAUGGCUUAGUAGAAGCAGUUGGCCCUAGUUAUUGUUUAUUGUGCAACACAUGUACUAUUGGUCCCUGAUGCCCCAAAUUGAGCUGUAAUG